Molecule: long non-coding RNA, 1532 nt
Organism: Phacochoerus africanus (Common warthog)
Lineage: Eukaryota; Metazoa; Chordata; Mammalia; Artiodactyla; Suidae
Exons: 4
Source: RefSeq, a predicted model, not a curated record
GCGGGGAACGCGGAUCGGAAUCUCUCAAACGCCCUAAGGCAGUGCUUCAAGUUAAAGGAUCACGCUGCUCCCAAAAAUGUCAAUUCAGGAGCUAAGAGAACAAUAUUUUUCGUAUAUUUUGUGGCCUCUUUUGAUUCCCAGAGAAGGGUCUGCUGCCCAAGGCGUGGAGGCAGCUGUCCACCCCGGCCCGCAGCCUUUGGACAGAUGGGGCCCCAUAGUCCUGGCCUGGGCUUGAGGGACUGUCUCUCAAGAAUGUUAGGGUGUCAGGAACCCUGACACUGUCAUGAAGAGCAAGCAGGAAGAACUCAGAGAAUUCAAACUCAGCUGGAAAUUGCUGGAGGAGCUGCCAGAUGCAAUCAAGGAAGAGGAGAAACACUGGGGCCUGAGAAGAGGGAAAUUAAGAGGUUGGAAGGGAUUAUGGAGACCUAAAGGGGGAAGAUGGCAAAAUGACAGGGCAACAAGGGGACACUAAGGAGGUCGGAGAAUGAAAAUCUCAGUUCAGCACACACACCCUUCCGGCUUUAAAAGUUCCCUGUCUUGGCUGGAGCUGUGGAAAUAGUGAAUCUACUGUGUGAAAGGAGUUGAUCUGAAACAGAGAGGCCUACACCUGCUAGAAAGGUGACCCAGAAGCCUGAUUCUAGAAGUCCUAAAUGCUACCAAGCACCUCCUCCCCCACCUGCAUUCCAUGGGCCUUUCUUGGAAGAAGAAAAUACUUCUCAAGGUCUGUGGCAAUAGGAAGAGGGAAAGAGAGCAGCUGCACGCUGCAAAGAGUCCUGGUGCCUGAUAUGUCUCCCACCUUUCCAUCUUCUCAAAGACACCAGAACUAGGAUGUAACUGUCUUUGCCUCUGAGCUGAGGAAAAGUCCCUGGGAGAUGGAUGCUGUAGGUGGAAGAGAUCACAGCCUCACUGCAGGCAGAAAGGCUAGGCCUGCCUCACCUGGCCAGUCGGACAUUGUCAUUGUCAUCUUUGCCCCACUCCCAGCCCUUUCCAGGGUCCACGGCAAAGUGCAAGGGCAGCAGCUUAUGCUCUGAAUCUGUAAGUGGGAUCACAGCUGGGGAGGCAAAAGACAUAUGAUCAAGGAGUCUCCAUGAGGAGAGAGGAAGGCAAAUGAACACAGACUGACUUCAGUAAAAAGGCUGAAUCAUACCAAAAGUCCCUCCCUAACUGGAGUCACUUCUCAGUUUACAUGUGAAUUACCUUAGCAUUAAAAACUAACAGGCAGAUUUUCCCUAACUAUCCAGCAUACAAUUUAGGCCAUUAAUUGCCACAGCUUCCCACCAGCUGGUCAGCUAGCACCCAUGAUGUUCUUGCUAGUUAACAUAGAUUCAGGGAAUUCAAAGUCACUAUUAAGGCAAAUAGAGUAAAGCAUCAUUUGGAAGCUUCCAUGACCUUAAUAUAUCAGAGCAGGGAAUAUAGGCUGUGUUUUUCCCCAAACCUUUUUUUUUUUCCUUUAAAUUUUAAAACCCCAGUAUAUCUCAUAGCUUAGUAAAAAAUUAUCAGUGUGCUCUGUCUGGACUCUUUCCUCAUACAUU